RNA transcript from Brassica rapa (field mustard), 2508 nucleotides. It is a transcript of the gene named F-box/WD-40 repeat-containing protein At3g52030, with no coding region annotated. The record is from RefSeq and is a predicted model, not a curated record. Lineage: Eukaryota; Viridiplantae; Streptophyta; Magnoliopsida; Brassicales; Brassicaceae.
AUGGGGAUAACAGAGACCGCCGGCGAAUCCUCGGCGAGAAAGACGCGACGAAGAGCACCAACGUCGUUCGAAUCUCUAGACACAGACAUACUAUGCAUCAUCUUCUCCUUUCUCGAUUUAUUCGAUCUCGUUCACUGUACCGUCGUCUGUAACUCCUGGUAUGCUGUUAUCAAGAAGCUGAAGCUGCUACAGUCCUCAUGCCGGAGGAUGCACCAGGUCGGCUCCACGUCGCUGGAGCAGCCACGCGAGAUAGACGUGGAGGAUUUCGCGAUGAAGCAUCACAAGAUGGCGUUGCUAAGAGGUCGAAUCGAGAUUGAGCGGUGGGAAGCUCACUCACACCGAUUCUCUCAGUGUCGAAUGAAGAAGGGAUUGCUUUUAACUGGUGUAGGUGAUAAGGUUAUGCGUCUCUGGUCGUUGAAUAGUUAUAAAUGCAUGGAGGAAUACUCACUUCCUGAUGCUGCUUCCUUGGUUGACUUCGAUUUUGACGAGAGUAAGAUUGUUGGAUUGGUUGGUACUCGGAUUAGCAUAUGGAGGAGAAAUGGACAAAGAAGCAUCUUUCCGUCUCGUGAAGGCACCAUUCCUAAGGGACUUUGUAUGCGUUACAUUGACCCAGAAGCUGUAGUUGGAUGCGAGGAUGGAACAGCUCGUGUAUUUGAUAUGUACAGUAAGACAUGUUCUCAGAUCAUUAGGACUCACGGUGGGCCAAUAACGUGCUUAUCUUUGAGCGACAAUCAACUGUUUCUUAGCGGGUCUUCACUCGGAAGAGUAACAGUAUCAGACCCUUUACUAGAUCAACCAGUGGCUAUGCUUAAAUCCACGAUAACUGCAGGAGGUAUACAGACCAUCUGUUUUAACCAAGGCUCCAAUCUCGCCUUCUCUGGAACAACCGCUGGAUACGUUUCAUGCUGGGACCUCAGGAAAAUGAGACAGGUGUGGGAAAAUCGAGUGAGUCCUAAUGUGGUGUACUCAAUACAACAGUUAAAGAACGAUACAUCGGUUAUGGUUGCUGGUGGAAUAGACGGUGUGCUGCGAGUGGUUGAUCAGAAGAGUGGCAGAGUUCUGUCAAGCUGUAUAAUGGACGACAAAGUUUCAACAGUUCUGAGAAGGCAGAGCCAAGUCGUGGUUGAGAAAAGGAGAGGAAAAAGAGUAUCUCAAGAUGUCGAGAUCGAUAAAAUCGAAAGGAAAACUCGGCCUCAGAUCAGCUGCAUAGCAAUGGGAAUGAAGAAGGUAGUAACAGCUCACAGUGGUAAAUUCAUAAGCGUAUGGAAAUUCAAUCAUUCAUGAAAGUCAUAAUAGUUGCUAUUGAAAGUCAUAAGCGUAUGGAUUCAAGCUGUGUAUUUGUGACAGAACUGGAAACAAAUCGCAUUACUCUGUGUAUUUGAGACAAAACUGGAAACCAUAGCAAUAUAUAAAUGAUUCAGAGACGCAAAAUCGAUUGAUAGUAGUGAGAAUUCCAAAAAGUUUUUAACACUUGGUAGACUUCUUGGAUGUGUCAGCUUGAGACUCAGCUUUGAGGAUAUUAAGUUGACCACCUUCUUUGCAAGCAGCGUUGGCAGCUUUCACUUCAUUGCAAUGGUUUAUGAACUUGGAACAUAGAAACAUACCCGGUCGGUGUCUAACUCUUUCGUUGUCUUGGACGGUUUCAUAUAUCUCUUCCCUGGAAGUAGAGGAAGAAGAUAAGAAACAGAGAUCGUGAGGGAUGUGCCAAAAAAAAAGAAGUGAAUAUACCUUUGUGAUUUUGAACGGAUUUGCCAUGGCGAUUAAGAGCAACGGUCUUCUUUUUCUGUUGCCCCUUGAACUGAUUGCUCCUCUGCGUCAUCUUCUUUGAUCUUCGUCUCUAGAGUUUCCACUCUCUGUACUCUCUAGGGUUGUGUUGUAAUAGAAGAGAGCAACUCUCAAGCGGGACUAUAUAAUGGCUAUUAAGGUCCAUAUAUAUAUAGACUCAUUAUAGAACCCUCUCCUCAUUUUUGGAAGGUUCCUUGACAGUCCUUGUCUUGGCUUUGCUCUCAGGAUUCUUCGUCUAGUCUUUUUUCAAGCUCUCAACAAGAACUUCUUUUGAUUGUGAUUGUGUCUCCGCUGAGGUUAAAUGCUUCUUGGCCUCAUGACGUCGCAUCUGUCUCAUCACUCCCGUUUGUUAUGGAGAAAGAAUCGAAAAUCUAUGCAAUAGGAGAAACUACUCUCUCAUCAUCUCUCCUUCUCUUGCACGUACCACCAAGCUGAUCCAGUCAUCAGAAAAACUUCAAAGUUGUGGGAGAGCCUUGAAGCGAAGUCUAGAUGAAAUCCAGAGAACUGUUUCAAGGAUGAUGUCAGAGGCUGACAAGAUUGGGAAGAAGGAAGAAAGAAGACAUGAAAAAUCUGAUGCUUAUGAGUCUCUGCUUACUUCGCCUGGACCAUGUCACCCUCCCCAAUCCCUCAUGGUAGUUUAGCUCACCAUAUUAGCUUCUUAAACCACAGUUCUCAACUAUGUUUUGUAAAUUCUCCCUUAAUAAGAUUAACAAGUUCCAUGUC